GGGGGAACUUUGGACAAUGGGCGCAAGCCUGAUCCAGCCAUUCCGCGUGAGUGAAGAAGGCCUUCGGGUUGUAAAGCUCUUUCGCAAGGGAAGAAACGAUACCGACGAAUAAUCGGUGUUAAUGACGGUACCUUGAUAAGAAGCACCGGCUAACUACGUGCCAGCAGCCGCGGUAAUACGUAGGGUGCGAGCGUUAAUCGGAAUUACUGGGCGUAAAGCGUGCGCAGGCGGUUUUGUAAGUCAGAUGUGAAAUCCCCGGGCUCAACCUGGGAACUGCGUUUGAAACUACAAGGCUAGAGUAUGGUAGAGGGGGGUAGAAUUCCACGUGUAGCAGUGAAAUGCGUAGAGAUGUGGAGGAAUACCAAUGGCGAAGGCAGCCACCUGGACUAAUACUGACGCUCAUGCACGAAAGCGUGGGGAGCAAACAGGAUUAGAUACCCUGGUAGUCCACGCCCUAAACGAUGUCUACUAGUUGUUGGGAGAGUAAAAUCUCUUAGUAACGCAGCUAACGCGUGAAGUAGACCGCCUGGGGAGUACGGUCGCAAGAUUA
This 550-nucleotide ribosomal RNA is filed under the name uncultured beta proteobacterium. RNAcentral describes it as "bacterial SSU rRNA". It matches the Rfam family "Bacterial small subunit ribosomal RNA", at positions 355 to 896 of the family's 1533-position model. Lineage: Bacteria; Pseudomonadati; Pseudomonadota; Betaproteobacteria. The record is from RNAcentral.